CCUUCUUUUUCGCGCUUUCCUCGGAAUUACUGGGCGUAAAGCGUGCGCAGGCGGUUGUGUAAGACAGGUGUGAAAUCCCCGGGCUUAACCUGGGAACUGCGCUUGUGACUGCACGGCUAGAGUACGGCAGAGGGGGGUGGAAUUCCACGUGUAGCAGUGAAAUGCGUAGAUAUGUGGAGGAACACCGAUGGCGAAGGCAGCCCCCUGGGCCGAUACUGACGCUCAUGCACGAAAGCGUGGGGAGCAAACAGGA
This 253-nucleotide ribosomal RNA is filed under the name uncultured prokaryote. RNAcentral's name for it is "partial 16S ribosomal RNA". It matches the Rfam family "Bacterial small subunit ribosomal RNA", at positions 525 to 777 of the family's 1533-position model. The record is from RNAcentral.